ACUGAGCCAGGGCCAAGGUACUUGAACGUUCUACAACUCGGACUUUAGGGAAAUGUCAGGAGAGUUGUCACAGCCCAAAAAAGUCUUGCAGCUGCUACACAAGCAGUGACUUUCAAUGUAUAUCAAGCUCCAGAAACAACCAACAAAGAAUCCCUAAAAUGAGCAUGCACCUUCAGCACCUGGUAUAGCUGGUCAAGGAUGCUCCCCUGUUUUCUAGCUGCAUUCCAGGAAGAACAUAUACAGGGAAUGGAAAUUUAAAGGUCUUGCAGUUAAGCAACAUGCAACUUUAACACUGGGUGGAGUCUGGAAAGAGGUCACCGUGACUCUUCUGUG
Calypte anna (Anna's hummingbird) is the source of this 333-nucleotide long non-coding RNA. RefSeq lists it as uncharacterized. The record is from RefSeq and is a predicted model, not a curated record. The transcript is spliced from 3 exons. NCBI's taxonomy places the organism in Eukaryota, Metazoa, Chordata, Aves, Apodiformes, Trochilidae.